GAACGCUGGCGGCGUGCUUAACACAUGCAAGUCGAGCGGAAAGGCCCUUCGGGGUACUCGAGCGGCGAACGGGUGAGUAACACGUGAGUAACCUGCCCCUGACUCUGGGAUAAGCCUGGGAAACCGGGUCUAAUACCGGAUACGACCAUUUCUCGCAUGUGAUGGUGGUGGAAAGUUUUUUCGGUUGGGGAUGGGCUCGCGGCCUAUCAGCUUGUUGGUGGGGUGAUGGCCUACCAAGGCGACGACGGGUAGCCGGCCUGAGAGGGCGACCGGCCACACUGGGACUGAGACACGGCCCAGACUCCUACGGGAGGCAGCAGUGGGGAAUAUUGCGCAAUGGGCGGAAGCCUGACGCAGCGACGCCGCGUGGGGGAUGACGGCCUUCGGGUUGUAAACCUCUUUCAGCAGGGACGAAGUUGACGUGUACCUGUAGAAGAAGCGCCGGCUAACUACGUGCCAGCAGCCGCGGUAAUACGUAGGGCGCAAGCGUUGUCCGGAAUUAUUGGGCGUAAAGAGCUCGUAGGUGGCUU
RNAcentral lists this ribosomal RNA (530 nucleotides) under Microbispora bryophytorum. Its description in RNAcentral is "bacterial SSU rRNA". It matches the Rfam family "Bacterial small subunit ribosomal RNA", at positions 31 to 581 of the family's 1533-position model. The record is from RNAcentral. Lineage: Bacteria; Bacillati; Actinomycetota; Actinomycetes; Streptosporangiales; Streptosporangiaceae.